GUGAGAGAAAAUUCCCAUACAAUUAGUUUCAAACAAACUUUUUUAUGAUUGUACAAACUUGGACAAAGUCCCAGAGUAGGUGUGUCUUUGUCUUGUUCCACACUACAACCGCAGAGUAAAUCCUGAGGAGUAGCAUGCCGCAACAAACUCAUUGUUACUCUUCUAAUAAUACAAAAAGAUGCAAGUUGACAAAUGAAAUGACAUGUCACCAACCUGCCAAAGAAUCUCUUUGUAAUAAAUUACUAUCAGACGGUUCUAUUGCGUCCUGUCAGUCACAAAGAAAAUGUAUAACCUGUCUGAACGUUCUUAAUCAUGAGACGUCACACGAAUAGGCCCCGCUCCAGAGGCACGUUUUGCACACUUAAUGCGCCUUAACUUCUGUAACCUUUCAACCAUUUGUCAUAUUGCUGACAGAAGCAAGAGCUCAAACAAUCCAAACCGAGUGUAUCCAGUGUUAAAUUAGCCAUUUAGUUACAUCUAAGUUCCAUCAAUCACAUUUGUCAGAGGUCUAGAUUUAAAGGGUGCCAAUUAUUGUGCCUGUUUUUCCAUCCAAUCCUCAAACGCAGCGUCUUUGUCACAAUUAGAGGCACUUACUGUAUGCAUGUAGUGCCUUGCAAAAGUAUUCACACCUCUUGACCCUUUUCACCUUUUGUGCUGUUCCCACAGAUUUUACGUAUAGACCAACCUUGAACCAGGUUCUUAUCCCGGUUUUAAGGUCAUGGCUUAGUAACCUUUAAUCACGGAACAACAUCAGUGUGUAUGAGGAUUUUUUAAUAACUAAAAACAACAACAAAACUUACUUCAAAAGUAAAAUAGAUUUUAUGUUCAGAAACUUGAAAAGUGGCAUGCAUAGAACUGAAGGAGAUUUGGUUGGAUUUUCCUCAUUUCAUAAAGAAGCUUAAGCAGGCGUAACCAAUGCUUAGGUAGAUAGAUUAUACAACAAAACAACCACUGUCAAUGUCAGUGUUCUGACAUUUUGAAAUAAGACUGUGUCCAUAUUUUAGAAUAAAACACUUUCAAAUCAAUUUGGAGUUGUUUUGCUAUUUUGAUAACCUAGUUUCCCAGCUGCGCCUGAACGCAGCAUGUACAACUCUUGGGGAAAUUCGAUCUUGUCAACGGAUGCUACAGGUAGCUAUUUGGACUUUUCUCCACAAUCCGGAAUAUUAAUAUUCCGGAUAGGUGAGAGAAUCUAUAGAUCUGGAUUUCCCAGGCUUCAAACGGAUGACUGGGAUGAUGUGUCACUCUGGGCUCGGUCUAUGUCACAAACCACAUUGAGGAGCUAGAGGAAACGGAAACGAACUUUGGAGCUGUGAAUCAUCCGUCCGAAAUUCUUCACAUUGAUGCUGCUCUUCUUCCACCCACUGGCCGGGUCAUAGGCGAAAGGAGG
Molecule: long non-coding RNA, 1387 nt
Organism: Gambusia affinis (western mosquitofish)
Lineage: Eukaryota; Metazoa; Chordata; Actinopteri; Cyprinodontiformes; Poeciliidae
Exons: 3
Source: RefSeq, a predicted model, not a curated record